GGAGACCCCAGCCGAGGGAUGGCGGCGGCGCCGGCUUCGAACACCGGUUGCGGUAACACGCGUGGGAGUUCGAUCCUCCCGGUCUCCG
This 88-nucleotide transfer RNA is filed under the name Arthrobacter caoxuetaonis. RNAcentral describes it as "Arthrobacter sp. zg-Y453 tRNA-Ser". The record is from RNAcentral. Lineage: Bacteria; Bacillati; Actinomycetota; Actinomycetes; Micrococcales; Micrococcaceae.